This 448-nucleotide long non-coding RNA is filed under the name Ursus maritimus (polar bear). RNAcentral's name for it is "lncRNA (ENSUMAG00000018528.1)". The record is from RNAcentral. Lineage: Eukaryota; Metazoa; Chordata; Mammalia; Carnivora; Ursidae.
CUCAAAUGCUGCGUGAUGAUAAAAAUGCACUUAUUGGUUACCUCAACUGGUAACCAGGCUCUACCACUAGACUUGGCGUGGUUGGGGGUGUUCUAGAAACUCACCACCUGGGUGAGAGAAAGCAGCAGCGAUGAGAAGGCUGAACUUCUAACCCAGAUGCGCCUCAGUGCGGAAUGCAGCCGGGAAAUCGCAAGGGACCCACAGGAGCGGAUUAUGAAGGACACAGCCCUCCACCAGCACAGGGGUCCGCCGUCCUUCUCCCAGGAUCUGACUCAAGAUUUACUUCAAUUAUCCACACCUCUGUUAGAGUACCUAAGCAAAUUAAACCAUCCGAAGUGAGAGAGAGGGAAGGAAGGAACGGGAUCUUUAAUAAAACAAUGUAGGCAAAACAGCCCUCCCCCCAAUCUCUGUUCUCUACAUUACCAAACUCCUAGACAAGCAACUGUUU